RNAcentral lists this ribosomal RNA (484 nucleotides) under uncultured bacterium. Its description in RNAcentral is "partial 16S ribosomal RNA". It matches the Rfam family "Bacterial small subunit ribosomal RNA", at positions 30 to 507 of the family's 1533-position model. The record is from RNAcentral.
AUUGAACGCUGGCGGCAGGCCUAACACAUGCAAGUCGAGCGGAUGAAGGGAGCUUGCUCCUGGAUUCAGCGGCGGACGGGUGAGUAAUGCCUAGGAAUCUGCCUGGUAGUGGGGGAUAACGUCCGGAAACGGGCGCUAAUACCGCAUACGUCCUGAGGGAGAAAGUGGGGGAUCUUCGGACCUCACGCUAUCAGAUGAGCCUAGGUCGGAUUAGCUAGUUGGUGGGGUAAAGGCCUACCAAGGCGACGAUCCGUAACUGGUCUGAGAGGAUGAUCAGUCACACUGGAACUGAGACACGGUCCAGACUCCUACGGGAGGCAGCAGUGGGGAAUAUUGGACGAGGGGCGAAAGCCUGAUCCAGCCAUGCCGCGUGUGUGAAGAAGGUCUUCGGAUUGUAAGGCACUUUAAGUUGGGAGGAAGGGCAGUAAGUUAAUACCUUGCUGUUUUGACGUUACCAACAGAAUAAGCACCGGCUAACUUCGUG